RNAcentral lists this ribosomal RNA (270 nucleotides) under uncultured prokaryote. RNAcentral's name for it is "partial 16S ribosomal RNA". It matches the Rfam family "Bacterial small subunit ribosomal RNA", at positions 506 to 776 of the family's 1533-position model. The record is from RNAcentral.
UGCCAGCCGCGCGGUAACACGUAGGACGCAAGCGUUAUCCGGAAUUACUGGGCGUAAAGAGCGUGUAGGCGGUGCUGUAAGUCAACCGUGAAAGCUCCCGGCUAAACUGGGAGAGGUCGGAUGAGACUGCAGCGCUAGUGGGUCGUAGAGGAAUGUGGAAUUCCGGGUGUAGUGGUGAAAUGCGUAGAGAUCCGGAGGAACACCAGAGGCGAAGGCGGCAUUCUGGACGACAUCAGACGCUGAGACGCGACAGCACGGGGAGCGAACGGG